This 249-nucleotide long non-coding RNA is filed under the name Ananas comosus (pineapple). RNAcentral describes it as "long non-coding RNA (ACOM_LNC019686)". The record is from RNAcentral. Lineage: Eukaryota; Viridiplantae; Streptophyta; Magnoliopsida; Poales; Bromeliaceae.
AAUUGCGAGGUUCGAGUGUUCGAGCGGUGUUCUGAGUUUUUUCAGAUUUUCUGGUGGGUCGUUGACUGUGUUCCGACCUAUGGCUCGUAUUCCGAGAAUUGCGGUUUAAAGCCUUGCACCAAAACCCGAAAAUAUGGAUUUUGGCUAGCUCUCGGGUAGCUUUCUGGGGGUCUUGUACCGGUACAAGGUUGGUGUCUGUACCAGUACAGGGUUGAUGGUUGUACCGGUACAGACACCGGCUUGUACCGG